This 411-nucleotide ribosomal RNA is filed under the name Verrucomicrobiota bacterium. RNAcentral's name for it is "Verrucomicrobia bacterium partial 16S ribosomal RNA". It matches the Rfam family "Bacterial small subunit ribosomal RNA", at positions 355 to 776 of the family's 1533-position model. The record is from RNAcentral. Lineage: Bacteria; Pseudomonadati; Verrucomicrobiota.
UGGGGAAUCUUGCGCAAUGGGGGAAACCCUGACGCAGCGACGCCGCGUGCGGGAUGAAGGCCUUCGGGUUGUAAACCGCUUUCAGCAGGGACGAGGCCUUAUGGUGACGGUACCUGCAGAAGAAGCUCCGGCUAAAUACGUGCCAGCAGCCGCGGUAAUACGUAUGGAGCAAGCGUUAUCCGGAUUCAUUGGGCGUAAAGCGCUCGUAGGCGGUCUGUUAGGUCGGCAAGUUAAAUCCGGGGGCUCAACCCCCGUCCGCUUCCGAUACCGGCAGACUUGAGUUUGGUAGGGGAAGGUGGAAUUCCUAGUGUAGCGGUGGAAUGCGCAGAUAUUAGGAAGAACACCAAUGGCGAAGGCAGGUCUCUGGGCUGUUACUGACGCUGAGAAGCGAAAGCGUGGGGAGCGAACAGG